Pipistrellus kuhlii (Kuhl's pipistrelle) is the source of this 1726-nucleotide long non-coding RNA. RefSeq lists it as uncharacterized. NCBI's taxonomy places the organism in Eukaryota, Metazoa, Chordata, Mammalia, Chiroptera, Vespertilionidae. The transcript is spliced from 2 exons. The record is from RefSeq and is a predicted model, not a curated record.
AACAUUAUAUUCUCUUAGCAAUUAGUAAGCAACCAGUACUUAGUACAAAGGCAUGUGCUCAGUAUAAAGCACUUGGUUCAGGCCAGGACAAAGGGCAUUAGGGUAACAGAGGAGGCAUGAGUCCCAUCCUUCAGAAAGUUUUAGUCCUCACAAAUGAACACCCUCCAUCGGGUCAUUAAACCGCCCUGUGAAAGGCUAAGGACCAUCAGCCUGGGUGAUUGACAAAGUCCUUCCUAGCUCUGAAGAUGGGUGGUCCAUUGUGUGGUCUGAUGUCAGAUAUGCAAAUGCAAUGCCACUUUUACCUGUGGGGAAACUGAGGCAUGUAGACGGCAAAGGAAAUAAGUGGAGCUUCGGUCCAUGCCCUCUCCUGUAUCUUACAAGAUGCCACCGGGAACUAAUAGUUGAGAGGCUGUGUGGGCCAGAACUGCCCUGGGUGCGUCUCACACCCGGUUCCACUCAGUUACCCUCCAACCAUAUGAGGAACUUUAUUUCCCUUUUCCUGGGGCUCCAGGAGGUUAGGGGGCCUGCCUGUGGUCACAUGGAGAAUGUGCCCCGUCUUGGAUUUGAGCCCAGUCUGCCUGACUCUAUGGCCCAGGUUCUCUCUACUAAAAGAGUUGCUCUAAUCAAAGAGUCAGCGUUGGAAAUGUGAAAGUCACUUCUGAACAAGGUCCACGGGUCCAUCUUGAAAGACUCGGCCCACAGCCUUAGAUGGUCUGAGGAAUUCGGAUCAUGUCAGCCUUUGUGUCAAUCUAGCAUUCUCACCAUUGUCCAGUGGCCAAGAUCCCUGCAAAGACUUAACAUAGAAAUAUUCUGAGAAAUAUGUGAAAAGGGCUCAAGCUCGCUGGUAAUCCUGGAAAUGCGAUCAGAACCACACCCAAGACACAUUUCAAGCCCAUUAGAUAGAAGUCUGUUAUCAGAGUUGAGCAAAGAGAGAGUAGUAGGGACUCUCCAACAUCACUGGAGGGGAUUCCAGAUCCUCUUUCAAGUAAACUUGCAAACACCCAAUUGUAUAUGCAGGCCUCUACCCUAGAAAAACUCUUGCAUGUGGAAAUAAAGAGACGCGUACAAAGAUGUUCAUAGAUGCAGUGUUUGUACUAGAAAAACAAAUAAAAAGAAAAAGGAGAGAAGCUGUCCGUACACAGGAGAACAGAUAAAUAAAUUAUGGUAUGUUCAUACUUGGAAUACCAAGUAACAAUGAAAAUGAUUGAACUACAAUAGAUCUACGUGCUAUUACACAGCUAAACCCCAGAAACAUAGUAUUGUGCAGGAACAAAAGCAGGCGGAGGGCAGGAUUUGUGUAAUAUGCUGACAUUUACAUAAAGUUUACCAACAUGCAAGGCAGUCCAUGUAUUAUUAGGAGUUCAAAAUGUAGUAAAAAGUGUAAAGCUUGCGUAGGGAUGACAAAGGUCAAGUUCAGGAGAGAUGGUCAUCUCAAGGUAGAAGGGAUAAUGGAGUCAGGAAGGAUGCAGAGGCCUUUACACCUGUAACGUUUUUGGGGGUUUUUUCUGGUGGGUUGGGUGCUGAGCAUGUAGGUGGUCACUGUUUUACUUUACAUUUUAUGUGUCCCUCAAAUAAUUCAUUAUCAACGAAAGUUAUUUAGUUGGUGUUGGCAGCAGCACAUUCAGAAGUCCAGUUCCAGGAUAUUAAGAAGCAUUAUUUAAAUGAUCGUUAAGUGGUUCAGUAAAUGUGGAAAACACUGGCUUAAAUAAAGUUAAGUAGGCUUUUU